UUCACGGAGAGUUUGAUCCUGGCUCAGGACGAACGCUGGCGGCGUGCUUAACACAUGCAAGUCGAGCGAGAAAGCACCUUCGGGUGUGAGUAAAGCGGCGAACGGGUGAGUAUCACGUGGGUAACCUGCCCUGAAGACCGGGACAACCAUUCGAAAGGAUGGCUAAUACCGGAUAUCCUGCGGAAUCGCAUGGUUCUGUAGAAAAUGGUAGCUUCGGCUUCUGCUUCAGGAUGGACCCGCGGCCCAUUAGCUUGUUGGUAGGGUAAUGGCCUACCAAGGCAACGAUGGGUAGCCGGCCUGAGAGGGUGAUCGGCCACACUGGGACUGAGACACGGCCCAGACUCCUACGGGAGGCAGCAGU
This 361-nucleotide ribosomal RNA is filed under the name Thermoleophilia bacterium. RNAcentral describes it as "bacterial SSU rRNA". It matches the Rfam family "Bacterial small subunit ribosomal RNA", at positions 1 to 355 of the family's 1533-position model. Lineage: Bacteria; Bacillati; Actinomycetota; Thermoleophilia. The record is from RNAcentral.